Molecule: ribosomal RNA, 325 nt
Filed under: uncultured eukaryote
Lineage: Eukaryota
Description: partial 18S ribosomal RNA
Rfam family: Eukaryotic small subunit ribosomal RNA
Source: RNAcentral
CCCUUAGAUGUUCUGGGCCGCACGCGCGCUACACUGAUGCAUUCAACGAGCCUAUCCUUGACCGACAGGUCCGGGUAAUCUUUGAAUCUGCAUCGUGACGGGGAUAGAUUAUUGCAAUUAUUAAUCUUCAACGAGGAAUGCCUAGUAGGCGCAAGUCAUCAGCUUGCGUCGAUUACGUCCCUGCCCUUUGUACACACCGCCCGUCGCUCCUACCGAUUGGGUGUGCUGGUGAAAUGUUCGGAUCGGCCGUUUGUCGCGGUGUCCGCGUCAUGUGGCUGAGAAGUUCAUUAAACCCUCCCACCUAGAGGAAGGAGAAGUCGUAACA